AAGAUGGUAUCGCUUGCGAACCAUACUUCGCCGGGAAUCAUCAGGUUUCCUUUUUCCUUAUUCAGAUUUAAGAGCGUGAAAAGUUCAAAAAGGACAUUCUGCUCUGAGCCGUAAGGACCGAGACAGAGGA
Bacillus thermozeamaize is the source of this 130-nucleotide non-coding RNA. Lineage: Bacteria; Bacillati; Bacillota; Bacilli; Caryophanales; Bacillaceae. The record is from Rfam.